AGUCGAAUGUAACUCGUCUUCUGGACGGAAACGAAAUACAACUUCAAACAACGGAUCUCUGGGCUCUCGCAUCGAUGAAGAACGCAGCGAAAUGCGAUAAGUAAUGUGAAUUGCAGAAUUCAGUGAAUCAUCGAAUCUUUGAACGCACCUUGCGCUCCUUGGUAUUCCGAGGAGCAUGCCUGUUUGAGUGUCAUGAACACCCUCCACCUCCGGGGCUUUUGCGAGCUUCCGGCGGCUGGGACUUGGGGGAUUACUGGCGGCCUUCGCGGGUCGGCUCCCCUUGAAUGCAUUAGCGGGGCGCGACGCGGUCCUUUGCCCGGCGCGGCCAUCCUCGGUGUAGUACGCUAUUCACCUUGGGUUGGCGCGCCUUGACCCGUCAUGCUCGCUUCUAACCGCGUGUAAUGCGCACUUCAUUGUACAUUUGACCUCAAAUCAGGUAGGACUACCCGCUGAACUUAAGCAUAUCAAUAAGCGGAGGA
RNAcentral lists this ribosomal RNA (479 nucleotides) under uncultured fungus. Its description in RNAcentral is "eukaryotic LSU rRNA". The stretch from base 40 to 193 matches the Rfam family "5.8S ribosomal RNA". The record is from RNAcentral. Lineage: Eukaryota; Fungi.